CCUACGGGCGACAGCAGUGAGGAAUAUUGGUCAAUGGGCGCGAGCCUGAACCAGCCAUGCCGCGUGAAGGAUGACUGCCCUACGGGUUGUAAACUUCUUUUAUACAGGAAUAAAGUGAGGCACGUGUACCUUUUUGUAUGUACUUUAUGAAUAAGGAUCGGCUAACUCCGUGCCAGCAGCCGCGGUAAUACGGAGGAUUCGAGCGUUAUCCGGAUUUAUUGGGUUUAAAGGGAGCGUAGAUGGGUUGUUAAGUCAGUUGUGAAAUGUUGCGGCUCAACCGUAAAAUUGCAAUUGAUACUGGCAGGCUUGAGUGCAGUUGAGGUAGGCGGAAUUCGUGGUGUAGCGGUGAAAUGCUUAGAUAUCACGAAGAACACCGAUUGCGAAGGCAGCUUACUAAACUGCUACUGACGUUGAGGCACGAAAGCGUGGGUAGCAAACAGGAUUAGAUACCCGGGUAGUC
RNAcentral lists this ribosomal RNA (460 nucleotides) under uncultured bacterium. Its description in RNAcentral is "partial 16S ribosomal RNA". It matches the Rfam family "Bacterial small subunit ribosomal RNA", at positions 338 to 795 of the family's 1533-position model. The record is from RNAcentral.